CCACUGAGAAGAUAGUGGCGAACGGGUGAGUAACACGUGGGUAACCUGCCCGAUAAGAGGGGGAUAACAUCCGGAAACGGGUGCUAAUACCGCAUAGUUUUCUUGAUCGCAUGAUCGGGAAAGGAAAGACGGCCUUUGUGCUGUCGCUUAUGGAUGGACCCGCGGCGUAUUAGUUAGUUGGUGAGGUAACGGCUCACCAAGACGAUGAUACGUAGCCGACCUGAGAGGGUGAUCGGCCACAUUGGGACUGAGACACGGCCCAAACUCCUACGGGAGGCAGCAGUAGGGAAUCUUCCGCAAUGGACGAAAGUCUGACGGAGCAACGCCGCGUGAGUGAAGAAAAGGUUUUCGGAUCGUAAAACUCUGUUGUCAGAGAAGAACAAGUUGGAGAGUAACUGCUCCAGCCUUGACGGUAUCUGACCAGAAAGCCACGGCUAACUACGUGCCAGCCGCCGC
RNAcentral lists this ribosomal RNA (456 nucleotides) under uncultured bacterium. RNAcentral's name for it is "bacterial SSU rRNA". It matches the Rfam family "Bacterial small subunit ribosomal RNA", at positions 81 to 518 of the family's 1533-position model. The record is from RNAcentral.